GAUGAACGCUGGCGGCGUGCCUAAUACAUGCAAGUCGAGCGAACGGACGAGAAGCUUGCUUCUCUGAUGUUAGCGGCGGACGGGUGAGUAACACGUGGAUAACCUACCUAUAAGACUGGGAUAACUUCGGGAAACCGGAGCUAAUACCGGAUAAUAUUUUGAACCGCAUGGUUCAAAAGUGAAAGACGGUCUUGCUGUCACUUAUAGAUGGAUCCGCGCUGCAUUAGCUAGUUGGUAAGGUAACGGCUUACCAAGGCAACGAUGCAUAGCCGACCUGAGAGGGUGAUAGGCCACACUGGAACGGAGACACGGUCAAGACUCCUACGGGAGGCAGCAGUAGGGAAUCUUCCGCAAUGGGCGAAAGCCUGACGGAGCAACGCCACGCGAGUGAUGAAGAUCUUCGGAUCGUAAAACUCUGUUAUGAGGGAAGAACAUAUGUGUAAGGAACUGUGCACAUCUUGACGGUACCUAAUCAGAAAGCCACGGCUAACUACGUG
This 497-nucleotide ribosomal RNA is filed under the name uncultured bacterium. RNAcentral's name for it is "partial 16S ribosomal RNA". It matches the Rfam family "Bacterial small subunit ribosomal RNA", at positions 28 to 507 of the family's 1533-position model. The record is from RNAcentral.